This is a non-coding RNA of Vicia faba (fava bean), 303 nucleotides long. The record is from the annotation of a GenBank genome assembly. Lineage: Eukaryota; Viridiplantae; Streptophyta; Magnoliopsida; Fabales; Fabaceae.
UCAUUGUAUUAUUCUGCUUUUGGAAUGUACAAGACAGUACUAUAUAUACUAUUAAGUAACAAACCACCAAAGUUAACUAAACUGAAUUAUUUGCAUCAUGUAAUAAUUUUAGUUGAAAGAUUGGUUACACAUAAUUCUCUGUUUUUGAAAUAUAAAUAUUUUUUUUUUAGAUUUGAGAGCUCCUCCUGUACAUUUUUGUGCUACAAAUUCCUUUAUGAACACAAGUUUCCAAACCUCCCAAGCUCAUAUAUUCAUCUCAACAUUAUCAGAAACAAUCGGAACGCUAGACCACAAAGUCCUUGA